RNAcentral lists this ribosomal RNA (260 nucleotides) under uncultured bacterium. RNAcentral's name for it is "partial 16S ribosomal RNA". It matches the Rfam family "Bacterial small subunit ribosomal RNA", at positions 524 to 776 of the family's 1533-position model. The record is from RNAcentral.
UACGGAGGGUGCAAGCGUUAUCCGGAUUCACUGGGUUUAAAGGGUGCGUAGGCGGGCAGGUAAGUCAGUGGUGAAAUCUCCGAGCUUAACUCGGAAACUGCCGUUGAUACUACUUGUCUUGAAUAUUGUGGGAGGUAAGCGGAAUAUGAUCAUGUAGCGGUGAAAUGCUUAGAUAUGAACAUAGAACACCAAUUGCGAAAGGCAGCUUACUACACAAAUGAUUGACGCUGAGGCACGAAAAGCCGUGGGGAUCAAACAGG